GAUCAUGGCUCAGGAUGAACGCUGGCGGCGUGCCUAACACAUGCAAGUCGAACGAAGCACCUUACCGGAUUCUUCGGAUGAAGGUCUGGUGACUGAGUGGCGGACGGGUGAGUAACGCGUGGGUAACCUGCCCUGUACAGGGGGAUAACAGCUGGAAACGGCUGCUAAUACCGCAUAAGCGCACGAGGAGACAUCUCCUAGUGUGAAAAACUCCGGUGGUACAGGAUGGGCCCGCGU
Molecule: ribosomal RNA, 237 nt
Filed under: uncultured bacterium
Lineage: Bacteria
Description: partial 16S ribosomal RNA
Rfam family: Bacterial small subunit ribosomal RNA
Source: RNAcentral